UAUUUAAGUUGUUGCAGUUAAAAAGCUCGUAGUUGGAUUUCGGUUGAGAGCGGCCGGUCCGCCGUUUGGUGUGCACUGGCUGGUUUCAGCUUCCUGCAGAGGACGCGCUCUGGGCUUAAUCGUCUGGACGUGGAGUCUGCGUGGUUACUUUGAAAAAAUUAGAGUGUUCAAAGCGGGCUUACGCUUGAAUAUUUCAGCAUGGAAUAACACUAUAGGACUCCUGUCCUAUUUCGUUGGUCUCGGGACGGGAGUAAUGAUUAAGAGGAACAGUUGGGGGCAUUCGUAUUUCAAUGUCAGAGGUGAAAUUCUUGGAUUUUUGAAAGACGAACUUCUGCGAAAGCAUUUGCCAAGGAUGUUUUCAUUAAUCAAGAACGAAAGUUGGGGGCUCGAAGAUGAUUAGAUACCAUCCUAGUCUCAACCAUAAACGAUGCCGACUAGGGAUUGGCGGAUGUUAAUUGAUGACUCCGCCAGCACCUUAUGAGAAAUCAAAGUUUUUGGGUUCCGGGGGGAGUAUGGUCGCAAGGCUGAAACUUAAAGGAAUUG
RNAcentral lists this ribosomal RNA (543 nucleotides) under uncultured marine picoplankton. Its description in RNAcentral is "SSU rRNA". It matches the Rfam family "Eukaryotic small subunit ribosomal RNA", at positions 602 to 1155 of the family's 1831-position model. The record is from RNAcentral.